RNA transcript from Gossypium raimondii (Peruvian cotton), 1452 nucleotides. It is a transcript of the gene named transcription factor SCREAM2, with no coding region annotated. The transcript has 4 exons. Lineage: Eukaryota; Viridiplantae; Streptophyta; Magnoliopsida; Malvales; Malvaceae. The record is from RefSeq and is a predicted model, not a curated record.
CUGUUGGAGGGCCUUAAAUCUUAACAGCAUGUUUAAUACACCCCUAAUCGGUGGGUCCCACCUAAUCCCUCUCUAUUCUGUCGUUUGGUACAAUGUAUUGCUAAUACGCGUGUAAUCCAUUACUUUCCUAAUCGGUGAAAACCAGCGAUUUCUAUCCCUCCUCUUUUGCCCAGAUUAGCUACCGCUUCAGCAAACCGUCCCUGUUUUACCCUCCCCCGAUCCCCUUUGUUUCUCUUCUGUUCCUUCUAGCUUCAUCCGAUUUAUUUCCUUGUUUCUUUGCUUUUCUUUUUUGCCGAUUUGCUCCCAGUUUAUUUUCUUUGCAUUUGUAACAUGGGCAUUUCCUUCCUUAGCUGUGAAACUGAAAAGUCUCUCUUACUUUCUCUCCCUCCCUCGAGUAUCUUCUCUUCGCAGGCAAACAAACAUAGCUCAAUUUCUUUUCUUAUUCCGAGUCUUGGUUAUCAGCUAAGCGCUUCUUGUGGAUUGUGAAGUGUGAUAUUUGUUUUUGGCUCUGUUGAUGGUUAAAUUAUUCUUUAUUCACGCAAAAGAGGAGCCUAGCCAACUACAAUAAAAGCAUCUGCGAAACUGAUAGUAAUCACAAUAGAGAAGUAUUCUGGAUAAGUAAUCACUACACUCAAACCCCAGUUGCAAGCAAGCAUCUUGUUGGUGGAGGUAAGAUUAAGGGAAGGAAGGGCUGUCAACAUUCACAUGUUUUGUGCUCGCAGGCCAGGUCUCUUGCUCUCCACCAUGAGAGCUCUAGACAACCUUGGAUUGGACAUACAACAAGCUGUAAUCAGCUGUUUUAAUGGGUUUGCACUGGAUGUUUUCCGAGCUGAGGUAUUUACUGCAAGUGAUGAACAGAAUUUAUCGUGAGGUGUGUUUUCCUUAAAGUUUAGUUUCGGAUCUGGUGAUGCUGAACAAAGACAAUAUGAAAAUUGGGAAAUUGGAGCUAUGCGAGUACCACAAUUGUAGCUUUGUUAAACAAGCAUUACAGUACCAGCUAAUCUGGAAGUCUGCAUAUCAUCUAAAAAAUAGAAAAGUUGUAAGGUGUUUGGUUUGUUGGUGGAUAUUAAUAUUUGGAUGAAGAAUUCAGUAAUUUUGAUUUGGUGUUUGACAAAUGACAGCAAUGCAGGGAAGGCCAGGAUGUAUUGCCUGAGCAAAUCAAAGCAGUACUUUUGGAUUCAGCAGGGUUCCGUGGGAUAAUGUGAGGGUGAAUGGUUGGCCUAUUAUGAUGGUAUUGGUAUGAACAGAGGCAAUAGUAAAUGUUGAUGUAAAGUAAUUAGUUGCUUCUCAUCCCAGUGGUGAAGCAAAUUUUACAAGGUAGUGAGCUUUGUAGGUAGCGCAAGCAAGUAGGCAAACAAUUGAUUUCUUAGUUAUUGUAUCACUUGAGAAUGAAGUUGAUUCUGAUGGAGGUUUUUAUUUAUUAUAUUUAUUUUCUUUUUUCUUUUGGGUUAA